CGGAACGCGCUCACGGCCAAGGUAUCCCUGGCCUCCGGGACGCCGUGGUGGCUGACGACGGUCUACGGACCCCAAGACGACGCGGAUAAAAUCUUGUUCCUCCAAGAGCUGCGCGAUAUUCGGGUGGCUUGCCCCAGCCCAUGGAUGCUAUGUGGUGAUUUCAACCUCAUAUACCGCGCCGAGGACAAGAACAUGGGUGGCCUGCACCGGCGCAUGAUGGGUAGAUUCCGCCGUGCCAUCAAUGACCUCGCCUUGAAGGAGAUAUAUCUUAACGGGCGUCGCUUCACAUGGUCAAAUGAGCAAUCGCCGCCCGCGUUAGUGCACCUGGAAUGCGUCCUUUGCAUGUCAGACUGGGAAGAUGCGCACGGCGAAUGCCACCUCCGGUGCCUCGCUUCGGUCGUGUCGGAUCACUGCCCGCUGCUGCUUGAUUGCUCCCCCAUGCUGGUUGUGCACAAAUGCUUCCAUUUCGAGGACUAUUGGCUCAGACUUGACGGCUUCCACGACACCGUUACCGCGGCGUGGAGCUCGGUGCAUGAUGAUGACCCGUUCUGGCGGCUGGUCAAACGUCUCCAGGCCACUGCUCGCCGCUUAUCAAGCUGGAGCGCCAAGGCCACGGGCAACAUUCGAGACAAGCUCGCC
Molecule: ribosomal RNA, 639 nt
Filed under: Triticum aestivum (bread wheat)
Lineage: Eukaryota; Viridiplantae; Streptophyta; Magnoliopsida; Poales; Poaceae
Description: partial small subunit ribosomal RNA
Source: RNAcentral